RNAcentral lists this ribosomal RNA (253 nucleotides) under uncultured bacterium. RNAcentral describes it as "partial 16S ribosomal RNA". It matches the Rfam family "Bacterial small subunit ribosomal RNA", at positions 524 to 776 of the family's 1533-position model. The record is from RNAcentral.
UACGAAGGGCCCAAGCGUUAUCCGGAUUUAUUGGGUUUAAAGGGUGCGUAGGCGGGCUAUUAAGUCAGUGGUGAAAGCCUCAAGCUUAACUUGAGAAUUGCCAUUGAUACUGAUGACCUUGAGUACAUUUGAAGUGGGCGGAAUGUGUCAUGUAGCGGUGAAAUGCUUAGAUAUGACACAGAACACCGAUGGCGUAGGCAGCUCACUAAACUGUAACUGACGCUGAGGCACGAAAGCGUGGGGAGCAAACAGG